RNAcentral lists this ribosomal RNA (465 nucleotides) under Vreelandella stevensii. RNAcentral's name for it is "partial 16S ribosomal RNA". It matches the Rfam family "Bacterial small subunit ribosomal RNA", at positions 338 to 795 of the family's 1533-position model. Lineage: Bacteria; Pseudomonadati; Pseudomonadota; Gammaproteobacteria; Oceanospirillales; Halomonadaceae. The record is from RNAcentral.
CCUACGGGGGGCAGCAGUGGGGAAUAUUGGACAAUGGGGGGAACCCUGAUCCAGCCAUGCCGCGUGUGUGAAGAAGGCCCUCGGGUUGUAAAGCACUUUCAGUGAGGAAGAACGCCUGGUGGUUAAUACCCAUCAGGAAAGACAUCACUCACAGAAGAAGCACCGGCUAACUCCGUGCCAGCAGCCGCGGUAAUACGGAGGGUGCGAGCGUUAAUCGGAAUUACUGGGCGUAAAGCGCGCGUAGGUGGCUUGAUAAGCCGGUUGUGAAAGCCCCGGGCUUAACCUGGGAACGGCAUCCGGAACUGUCAAGCUAGAGUGCAGGAGAGGAAGGUAGAAUUCCCGGUGUAGCGGUGAAAUGCGUAGAGAUCGGGAGGAAUACCAGUGGCGAAGGCGGCCUUCUGGACUGACACUGACACUGAGGUGCGAAAGCGUGGGUAGCAAACAGGAUUAGAUACCCUAGUAGUC